GGCCCCAUCAUCUAGUGGUUAGGAUAUUGGGUUUUCAUCCCAAAAACACCGGUUCGACUCCGGUUGGGGCUA
This 72-nucleotide transfer RNA is filed under the name bacterium. RNAcentral's name for it is "tRNA-Glu". It matches the Rfam family "tRNA". Rfam says of the family: Transfer RNA (tRNA) molecules are approximately 80 nucleotides in length. Their secondary structure includes four short double-helical elements and three loops (D, anti-codon, and T loops). RNAcentral also lists the same sequence under 1 other name. The record is from RNAcentral.